AGACAGCCCUGAGAUCACCUAAAAAGCUGCUACCAAGACAGCCACCAAGAUCCUACCAAAAUGAAGCGCUUCCUCUUCCUCCUACUCACCAUCAGCCUCCUGGUUAUGGUACAGAGAGAAGCCUGGAUGUUCAGGAAUGCAAAGAAGACAGGACUCUCCCAUUUCAGAAACAACUGGAGUCUCAAAAGUGACUGCUAUUCCAGGAGGCAGCUUUGGUAGCAUCCCAGGUGCCCAGAGGGGAGUCAGUACAGCAGACUGGAGCCAUCAAGUUCUUGAUCAAGAACACCUUGAUCACCGUCAAAACCAGCUUAAUCUCCAUCAAGAACAGUUCUAGUUGCAGCUCCAUCAAGCAUUAAGGACAGCUUGAUCACCAUCUGGCCACUUCCCCACCCCAUAUCCAGCCACCCACGCUGUGCCAACUGCUUUCUCACUCAGCCCCGGCUCAUAUGACCUUCACAACUGUGAUGAACUUCUCCCCACUCAGAAGAGGAAACUGAGGCUCAGGGAAGCUAAGCCCUUUGCCAGGCUAGGAAGGUCAAGGGCUAGGGCUCCCCUGUCUCCCUCUAUGCCAGAAGGGCUGG
Molecule: small RNA, 581 nt
Filed under: Pongo abelii (Sumatran orangutan)
Lineage: Eukaryota; Metazoa; Chordata; Mammalia; Primates; Hominidae
Description: processed transcript
Source: RNAcentral